This 284-nucleotide ribosomal RNA is filed under the name uncultured bacterium. RNAcentral describes it as "partial 16S ribosomal RNA". It matches the Rfam family "Bacterial small subunit ribosomal RNA", at positions 28 to 320 of the family's 1533-position model. The record is from RNAcentral.
GGUAAACGCUGGCGGCGUGCCUAAAACAUGCAAGUCGAACGCAUCGAGCAAUCGGUGAGUGGCAGACGGCUGAGUAACGCGUGGGUGACCUGCCCCGAUGUGGGGAAGUAACUGCCCGAAACGGGUAGGCUAAUACCGCAUGAGCUUCGUACGUAUUGCGUCGAAGGAAAGUCGCAAGACGCAUUGGGAGGGGCCCGCGUCCGAUUAGCUGGUUGGUGGGGUAACGGCCUACCAAGGCGACGAUCGGUAGCUGGUCUGAGAGGAUGAUCAGCCAGACUGGGACU